GACGAACGCUGGCGGCGUGCCUAAUACAUGCAAGUAGAACGCUGAAGGAGGAGCUUGCUUCUCUGGAUGAGUUGCGAACGGGUGAGUAACGCGUAGGUAACCUGCCUGGUAGCGGGGGAUAACUAUUGGAAACGAUAGCUAAUACCGCAUAACAGUAGAUGUUGCAUGACAUUUGCUUAAAAGGUGCAAUUGCAUCACUACCAGAUGGACCUGCGUUGUAUUAGCUAGUUGGUGGGGUAACGGCUCACCAAGGCGACGAUACAUAGCCGACCUGAGAGGGUGAUCGGCCACACUGGGACUGAGACACGGCCCAGACUCCUACGGGAGGCAGCAGUAGGGAAUCUUCGGCAAUGGACGGAAGUCUGACCGAGCAACGCCGCGUGAGUGAAGAAGGUUUUCGGAUCGUAAAGCUCUGUUGUAAGAGAAGAACGAGUGUGAGAGUGGAAAGUUCACACUGUGACGGUAUCUACCAGAAAGGA
This 479-nucleotide ribosomal RNA is filed under the name Streptococcus mitis. Its description in RNAcentral is "bacterial SSU rRNA". It matches the Rfam family "Bacterial small subunit ribosomal RNA", at positions 28 to 492 of the family's 1533-position model. The record is from RNAcentral. Lineage: Bacteria; Bacillati; Bacillota; Bacilli; Lactobacillales; Streptococcaceae.